CUGAGACACGGCCCAGACUCCUACGGGAGGCAGCAGUGGGGAAUAUUGCACAAUGGGGGGAAGCCUGAUGCAGAGACGCCGCGUGAGGGAUGACGGCCUUCGAGUUGUAAACCUCUUUCAGCAGGGAAGAAGCGAGCGUGACGGUACCUGCAGAAGAAGCGCCGGCUAACUACGUGCCAGCAGCCGCGGUAAUACGUAAGGCGCAAGCGUUGUCCCGGAAUUAUUGGGCGUAAAGAGCUCGUAGGCGGCUUGUCGCCGUCGGUUGUGAAAGCCCCGGGGCUUAACCCCGGGUCUGCAGUCGAUACGGGCAGGCUAGAGUUCGGUAGGGGAGAUCGGAAUUCCUGGUGUAGCGGUGAAAUGCGCAGAUAUCAGGAGGAACACCCGGUGGCGAAGGCGGAUCUCUGGGCCGAUACUGACGCUGAGGAGCGAAAGCGUGGGGAGCGAACAGGAUUAGAUACCCUGGUAGUCCACGCCGUAAACGGUGGGCACUAGGUGUGGGCAACAUUCCACGUUGUCCGUGCCGCAGCUAACGCAUUAAGUGCCCCGCCUGGGGAGUACGGCCGCAAGGCUAAAACUCAAAGGAAUUGACGGGGGCCCGCACAAGCGGCGGAGCAUGUGGCUUAAUUCGACGCAACGCGAAGAACCUUACCAAGGCUUGACAUACACCGGAAAACCCUGGAGACAGGGUCCCCCUUGUGGUCGGUGUACAGGUGGUGCAUGGCUGUCGUCAGCUCGUGUCGUGAGAUGUUGGGUUAAGUCCCGCAACGAGCGCAACCCUUGUCCCGUGUUGCCAGCAGGCCCUUGUGGUGCUGGGGACUCACGGGAGAUCGCCGGGGUCAACUCGGAGGAAGGUGGGGACGACGUCAAGUCAUCAUGCCCCUUAUGUCUUGGGCUGCACACGUGCUACAAUGGCCGGUACAAUGAGCUGCGAUACCGCGAGGUGGAGCGAAUCUCAAAAAGCCGGUCUCAGUUCGGAUUGGGGUCUGCAACUCGACCCCAUGAAGUAGGAGUCGCUAGUAAUCGCAGAUCAGCAUUGCUGCGGUGAAUACGUUCCCGGGCCUGUUCACACCGCCCGUCACGUCACGAAAGUCGGUAACACCCGAAGCCGGCGGGCCCAACCCCUUGUGGGAGGGAGCUGUCGAAGGUGGGACUGG
Molecule: ribosomal RNA, 1154 nt
Filed under: Streptomyces sp.
Lineage: Bacteria; Bacillati; Actinomycetota; Actinomycetes; Kitasatosporales; Streptomycetaceae
Description: bacterial SSU rRNA
Rfam family: Bacterial small subunit ribosomal RNA
Source: RNAcentral